RNAcentral lists this ribosomal RNA (445 nucleotides) under Salmonella enterica subsp. enterica serovar Bovismorbificans. Its description in RNAcentral is "bacterial SSU rRNA". It matches the Rfam family "Bacterial small subunit ribosomal RNA", at positions 1 to 442 of the family's 1533-position model. Lineage: Bacteria; Pseudomonadati; Pseudomonadota; Gammaproteobacteria; Enterobacterales; Enterobacteriaceae. The record is from RNAcentral.
AAAUUGAAGAGUUUGAUCAUGGCUCAGAUUGAACGCUGGCGGCAGGCCUAACACAUGCAAGUCGAACGGUAACAGGAAGCAGCUUGCUGCUUCGCUGACGAGUGGCGGACGGGUGAGUAAUGUCUGGGAAACUGCCUGAUGGAGGGGGAUAACUACUGGAAACGGUGGCUAAUACCGCAUAACGUCGCAAGACCAAAGAGGGGGACCUUCGGGCCUCUUGCCAUCAGAUGUGCCCAGAUGGGAUUAGCUAGUUGGUGAGGUAACGGCUCACCAAGGCGACGAUCCCUAGCUGGUCUGAGAGGAUGACCAGCCACACUGGAACUGAGACACGGUCCAGACUCCUACGGGAGGCAGCAGUGGGGAAUAUUGCACAAUGGGCGCAAGCCUGAUGCAGCCAUGCCGCGUGUAUGAAGCAGGCCUUCGGGUUGUAAAGUACUUUCAGCGG